GAUGAAAACGCAGCGAAACGCGAUAAGUAAUGUGAAUUGCAGAAUCCAGUGAAUCAUCGAAUCUUUGAACGCACAUUGCGCCCGCCAGCAUUCUGGCGGGCAUGCCUGUUCGAGCGUCAUUUCAACCCUCGACCUCCCCUUGGGGAGGUCGGCGUUGGGGACCGGCAGCACACCGCCGGCCCUGAAAUGGAGUGGCGGCCCGUCCGCGGCGACCUCUGCGCAGUAAUACAGCUCGCACCGGGACCCCGACGCGGCCACGCCGUAAAACACCCAACUUCUGAACGUUGACCUCGAAUCAGGUAGGACUACCCGCUGAACUUAAGCAUAUCAAUAAGCGGAGGA
Molecule: unclassified non-coding RNA, 342 nt
Filed under: soil metagenome
Description: partial contains 5.8S ribosomal RNA, internal transcribed spacer 2, and large subunit ribosomal RNA
Rfam family: 5.8S ribosomal RNA (bases 1-119)
Source: RNAcentral